AAUUAUCAACCUAAUGGUUGGACUUGGGAUUUGCUGGCUUUGAGUAGUCAGCUAUCCUUAAAUGUAUUAGUGAGUGAAGUCUUGACGUGCACGGCCUGUCUCCGGUGAUAAAUGAACCGUUGGUCCGGGCUGGAAGCGUCAUUAGGAAACUUGCUUUAAUUUAUUAGCAUGAAAGUGUUAUAUUUUGACA
This 190-nucleotide unclassified non-coding RNA is filed under the name uncultured Octaviania. RNAcentral describes it as "sequence contains ITS2". Lineage: Eukaryota; Fungi; Basidiomycota; Agaricomycetes; Boletales; Boletaceae. The record is from RNAcentral.